Molecule: ribosomal RNA, 497 nt
Filed under: uncultured bacterium
Lineage: Bacteria
Description: partial 16S ribosomal RNA
Rfam family: Bacterial small subunit ribosomal RNA
Source: RNAcentral
GAUGAACGCUGGCGGCGUGCCUAAUACAUGCAAGUCGAGCGAACGGACGAGAAGCUUGCUUCUCUGAUGUUAGCGGCGGACGGGUGAGUAACACGUGGAUAACCUACCUAUAAGACUGGGAUAACUUCGGGAAACCGGAGCUAAUACCGGAUAAUAUUUUGAACCGCAUGGUUCAAAAGUGGAAGACGGUCUUGCUGUCACUUAUAGAUGGAUCCGCGCUGCAUUAGCUAGUUGGUAAGGUAACGGCUUACCAAGGCAACGAUGCAUAGCCGACCUGAGAGGGUGAUCGGCCACACUGGAACUGAGACACGGUCCAGACUCCUACGGGAGGCAGCAGUAGGGAAUCUUCCGCAAUGGGCGAAAGCCUGACGGGGCAACGCCGCGUGAGUGAUGAAGGUCUUCGGAUCGUAAAACUCUGUUAUUAGGGAAGAACAUAUGUGUAAGUAACUGUGCACAUCUUGACGGUACCUAAUCAGAAAGCCACGGCUAACUACGUG